GGCGAACGCUGGCGGCGUGCCUAAUACAUGCAAGUAGAACGCUGAAGGAGGAGCUUGCUUCUCUGGAUGAGUUGCGAACGGGUGAGUAACGCGUAGGUAACCUGCCUGGUAGCGGGGGAUAACUAUUGGAAACGAUAGCUAAUACCGCAUAAUAGUAGAUGUUGCAUGACAUUUGCUUAAAAGGUGCAAUUGCAUCACUACCAGAUGGACCUGCGUUGUAUUAGCUAGUUGGUGAGGUAACGGCUCACCAAGGCGACGAUACAUAGCCGACCUGAGAGGGUGAUCGGCCACACUGGGACUGAGACACGGCCCAGACUCCUACGGGAGGCAGCAGUAGGGAAUCUUCGGCAAUGGACGGAAGUCUGACCGAGCAACGCCGCGUGAGUGAAGAAGGGUUUCGGAUCGUAAAGCUCUGUUGUAAGAGAAGAACGAGUGUGAGAGUGGAAAGUUCACACUGUGACGGUAUCUUAACAGAAAGGGACGGCUAACUACGUG
RNAcentral lists this ribosomal RNA (495 nucleotides) under uncultured bacterium. RNAcentral's name for it is "partial 16S ribosomal RNA". It matches the Rfam family "Bacterial small subunit ribosomal RNA", at positions 28 to 507 of the family's 1533-position model. The record is from RNAcentral.